Molecule: non-coding RNA, 3724 nt
Organism: Manis javanica (Malayan pangolin)
Lineage: Eukaryota; Metazoa; Chordata; Mammalia; Pholidota; Manidae
Source: RefSeq, a predicted model, not a curated record
GUCCUAUAAAAUAGGAGGCUCAUACAUAGCAGAGGCUGACUGCGCCAGGGCAGACCUGGACUAGGAAGCCAGGGAAAAUGCACUAGUCGUUGCCAGACAGGCUGGGCAUGUUUCUCACCAGGUCAAGAGUUGAUUGAAUCUGGAUCAGCAGCUGCUGAGAGCUAACUGUGCAGGCACUGCCCUGUGUUCAGACGGCAAGGCCCCUGGAAAUCUACCGUGGAGGGUGCAAGGAGACCCAGCUUAGCACCACAUAUCUGCAUGGUACUUUCAAGAUGAAAGAAGAUAAUGUAUGAGGAAACCCUUUGCAAACCCCAAAGAGCUACCCAAAUAUAAGAAUAAUGGGGGAUACAGGCAAACAUUCUCCUAUCGGGUCAGAAAAUAUUAUGUUUCCACAUGAGUCUAUUCAGAAGAGAAAACAGAAGGGCUCCAGAAUGUGGCGGGGUGAGAGGGGGCAGCGUUGGACACGCAAGUGGAGAAGCGCAACAGAAAUGAGACCAGAGCAAAAUUCUGGCUUCCAGUUGUCAUUGGUAUGAAGCCCAAUCGGGUCAAGACCCGCUCUGACUAAACUAUGCGUCUGUUAAGGAGAGGUACCGAUUUCCUGUCUGGAAGGAUCCUUAACACUGGAAAUAACACACCACCACCACAAAAAACCUCUUAACUCAGCGCUCUGUUAGCCAGCAGAAAGACAAACCAAAGCUAAUAUUUACUAAGAAUUGAUUGUGUAGGAGACACUGUUCUAAGUACCUUCUAUUAUUAGUUUAUAUAUUCCUCCCAGUGGGAUUCUUGGCCCCACCUAACAGAUAAGGAAACUGAGCUGCAGAGAGGUGAAGUCACCCGGGCAGCCUCGCUGAGACAUCUUCCAAGGAAAGGGAAGUUGGUGGGGCAAAGGCCCAGGGGCUACCGCUCGUGGGUGUGUGGUUGUUCUUUUCACCCUACAUAGACAUUUGUGGAUACUUUUGUAUGAAUGCUUUAUGUCUUGGUAUAUUUUUUUUGAAAUGAUGGGCCAGGGAAAAGCCAGGAGAGACUUCCACAUGCCUGCUGCUCCGGUCCCAGGCCGUGGAGCCUGCUCAGUGGCUUGUUCUGGGCGGUCUGUUUACUGACAACACAGAGCAAACAAGGCGCUGGUGCGGACAUCAGGGGAGCAGCUGCUCAGUGUGCAGAAAACCUUGAGCGCGGUUUGCAGAGUAAACGGACCCUCAUUUGGACAAAUCCCGCUGGGACCUGGGGCCUACGAAAGAUAGAGCGGCAAAGGGUUGUUGACACGGAUGUCUCCACGGGCUGAAGUUAGGAAACAGAGGAGCGGCCCAGGAAUGUGAGAGGCUUCUCUCCUCAACCCUGAGGUCACCACUGCCAAGGACUCAGCUGCCGGGACUGAAGAGGAAAUGCACCUGAAGCCGUCUGUUGCCUUGGGUGUUUGUGGUGGGUGUGCGGCUGAAGGGAAGGUGAAGAGAAGGCAGCAGCACCGGAUCAAGGUGUUGUUUAGAUGCUUUUACCAGCUUAAUCACCUUGCAGAUUAGCACAGGCUGAAACUGCGCAAAACUGAGCUGGUGAGAGGAAAUAACAGGAGUAAAAGUCAUUUAAAGAGAGAGAGAUCUCAACGCACAUGGUCUAAGACAGAGCGUCUCAGACUUUACUGUGCGUGCACAUCAUCCCCUGGGAUAAAGACAGGUAGAUGUGGGUCUGAGCCUUGACAUCUCUGCCUCCUUGUUGUGUAUCUUGGGCAAGUCACCUAGCUUUGCUGGAUGUCGGUCUUUCCAAAAUGAAGCACUUGGGGAGCCUCAUUUGUACAACCAGCAUGCUCCACAGGGUUGCUGCAGAGACAGACUGAGAUUGUGUGCAAGCAAAAAGCAGCAUGCAGGUCUGGCACACGGUGAGUGUCCACUAAAUGAUAGCUAACUUUGUUCUGCUCGUUGCUAUCAACAAAUAUUGUUUGGAAAAAUUCUGGCAUGGCACUGUGGUAGACUGUCCCGGUGCCCGCGCGUGCCCCUGUUGUGUGACGGUUGGUGGCAAACGUAGCUGUGCUCUCUUCCAGAGAACUGCCUUCUGCUGAAGGGCAUCGCAUUGCCUGAAAAUGCCCGCCGACUGACUCAUUCAGGUCUGUAGCAGGUGCCGACCACCUCUCCUGGCAACAGCUGCCCGGCCAGUCCGGAGACCCCAGCUGUGUCUGUGAUGACUCCUGCCAACGAAGUCCUUUCUGAUGAGCUGAAUCUCCCUCCUCCUCUCUUUCUAGAGUAACACUGAAAACGGAAAGAAUGAACCCAAGGAUGGGCUACAUGACCCAGAUGGGGCUGGCGCUGAGGGCAGAGCCUGGAGAAAGAGCAUCUCUGGCCCGGGCAUGCUGCUUGGAACAUGCACCCGUCGGGAGCACAGCUGUCAGCAAUGCCAACGAGUAAUGGGGAGGCAGAGAUGAGCGGGACCUGGAAAAGGCUAGUUUCCUAGUAUCAUCACCAUUUAUCUUUGGCAAACCCUGGGAUGGAUGAAAAGCAGAAGGCUGGACCACAGUGACAGUCAGGAGACUGAGUUUUGCACACUGUCCUCAAGCCCUUUUCUGAAGGGUUACUAGAUGGGAAAUCAGCAGGACACAGAGACAAUAUCAAUCUCAGAAUCCUGGAAAGUGGCACCUUCAGCUCUUGGAUGGGGCGCUGAGGCUCUUGGAGAUUUGGGGAUGCCCUGAUCACAGCUGGUGAGGGGCAGAGGUUUUACUGGCCCUGACUCCUUGCUGCUGUGGGCCAGGGCUCUCCUUACUAUGGGGCAAGAAAGGAGCUGUCAUUUAAUGAGUGUUUUCUGCAUUCUGGACACUUCACCCAUUUCCUCAAUCAAUUCCCACCCAGAGGAACCAUUAUCCCAUAUUCCAGAUGCACCACCUGAGGCCCAACAGGAUGGACAACCUACUGGACGUCCACCGACAGGAAGUGGGGAGGCUUGUUACAAACACCAUCUAUUGCACUUUUUUUGUUUUUUGCUUUUUAACGUAAUCAUUUUCAAUGUCUUUCAGGAUUUCUUUGGGAGGAAGAUGGAGAAACAUGACUGGAUGACAGCAUGAAAAGGUGGAUUCACGUUUGCGUGGGACAAGCCAUGAAGCAGGUGUCUGGUACCUUCGCCAUGCUCCUAGGGAAGACGUGACAUAGUGAGAGCAUGGUCCAGAAACGGGGUUGCCCCAGAGGAAGGCUAGUGGAAAGCCCCCGGAUGAAGCUGAAGAGGGAGGACCUCCAAGUCCUACAUUUAGAUCCCAACUAUUUAAUUUCAGAAACAUGGCACUGAGGAGGUCUGAUGGUCACCUCACUUGACUGAAGUGUCCAGGGACCCCACCCCUUUGCUUGGUACCAAUUUCCCUGCUCUGGGCUCUCUGGGGGCAGAAGCCCCGGCGUGAGAGCCAGGGCCACACUUUUGCCCCGUGACCAGCAUGGGCCCGGGACCCAGUGUCCAUUCACUUUAUAUUUGCCAAAAGAACAGUCUCAUGUGUCAUAACAAAACACAAGCGACUUCCCAACAUGUUCAUAAAAGAAGGGCAUGCACAAUAGGCCUCCACUUCGCUUUCGAAAGACUGCUGAUGUUUGCAUUUUAACAACUUUAAGAGUAAUGCCUAGAUCUUAGAAGUGGAGAAUUGUCCUACAACUUGUUAACAUCCUGUUAAUCUCAUCAGCCAAAGUGGUUUAAAAUACUUCAACUUCAAAUUUGUGUGAUCGAUUUUCAAGUAAACUAUGUGACUUGUGAUGUCCUCCCC